AGUGAACGCUGGCGGCAGGCCUAACACAUGCAAGUCGAGCGGCAGCGCGUCCGACCACCCUCGGGUGGUCGGAUGGCGGCGAGCGGCGGACGGGUGAGGAAUGCAUCGGAAUCUGCCUCGUUGUGGGGGAUAACGUAGGGAAACUUACGCUAAUACCGCAUACGACCUACGGGUGAAAGUGGGGGACCUUCGGGCCUCACGCGAUGAGAUGAGCCGAUGCCGGAUUAGCUAGUUGGCGGGGUAAUGGCCUACCAAGGCAACGAUCUCUAGCUGGUCUGAGAGGACGAUCAGCCACACUGGGACUGAGACACGGCCCAGACUCCUACGGGAGGCAGCAGUGGGGAAUAUUGGACAAUGGGCGAAAGCCUGAUCCAGCAAUGCCGCGUGUGUGAAGAAGGCCUGAGGGUUGUAAAGCUCUUUCAGCAGGAACGAAACGGUGGUCCCUAAUACGGACUACUAAUGACGGUACCUGAAGAAGAAGCACCGGCUAACUACGUG
RNAcentral lists this ribosomal RNA (498 nucleotides) under uncultured bacterium. RNAcentral's name for it is "bacterial SSU rRNA". It matches the Rfam family "Bacterial small subunit ribosomal RNA", at positions 29 to 507 of the family's 1533-position model. The record is from RNAcentral.